This 930-nucleotide ribosomal RNA is filed under the name uncultured fungus. RNAcentral's name for it is "eukaryotic LSU rRNA". The stretch from base 599 to 930 matches the Rfam family "Eukaryotic large subunit ribosomal RNA", at positions 1 to 326 of the family's 3401-position model. The record is from RNAcentral. Lineage: Eukaryota; Fungi.
UCUGAUUAGUUGUAGCUGGCUCUCCGGAGCAUGUGCACGCUGAUCACCUUUAUCUUUCCACCUGUGAACACACUGUAGUCCUGGAUACCUCUCGCCGCAAGGCGGAUGCGUCGUCUGCUGUGCUGCUCGUAAGAGCGGUCGGCUUACUUCGAAUUUCCAGGUCUAUGAUCAUACAAACCCCAAACGAAUGUAACAGAAUGUAAUCAUCAGGCUUUAUGCCUAUAAAUUUAUACAACUUUCAACAACGGAUCUCUUGGCUCUCGCAUCGAUGAAGAACGCAGCGAAAUGCGAUAAGUAAUGUGAAUUGCAGAAUUCAGUGAAUCAUCGAAUCUUUGAACGCACCUUGCGCUCCUUGGUAUUCCGAGGAGCAUGCCUGUUUGAGUGUCAUUAAAUUCUCAACCUCACCAAUUUUGUUAUGAGAUUGUGUGUUGGCUUGGAUGUGGGGGUUGCAGGUCCGCUUCGGUGGUCUGCUCCUCUGAAAUGUAUUAGUGGGUUUGGUCCCCUAAUCUAUUGGUGUGAUAAUUAUCUACGCCGUGGAUUGGAAGACUAUUAUGAACCUGCUUCUAACCGUCCCUUACCGGACAAUUUAUGACAUUUUUGGCCUCAAAUCAGGUAAGACUACCCGCUGAACUUAAGCAUAUCAAUAAGCGGAGGAAAAGAAACUAACAAGGAUUCCCCUAGUAACUGCGAGUGAAGCGGGAAAAGCUCAAAUUUAAAAUCUGGCGGUCUUCGGCCGUCCGAGUUGUAAUCUAGAGAAGUGUUACCCGCGUCGGACCGUGUACAAGUCUCCUGGAAUGGAGCGUCAUAGAGGGUGAGAAUCCCGUCUUUGACACGGACUACCGAGGCUUUUGUGGUGCGCUCUCAAAGAGUCGAGUUGUUUGGGAAUGCAGCUCAAAAUGGGUGGUAAAUUCCAUCUAAAGCUAAUAUUGG